UUUUAAACCCUUUGUACUGAAAAAUAUUAUGAAUAAACAAUUCAAAAUACAACUUUCAACAACGGAUCUCUUGGCUCUCGCAUCGAUGAAGAACGCAGCGAAAUGCGAUACGUAAUGUGAAUUGCAGAAUUCAGUGAAUCAUCGAAUCUUUGAACGCAUAUUGCGCUCUUUGGUAUUCCGAAGAGCAUGCUUGUUUGAGUAUCAGUAAACACCUCAAAGCUUUUGAUUUUUUUGAAAGUUUUGGACUUGAGCGAUCCCAACACCAAUCUUUACAGAUCGGCGGCGGGUUGCUUGAAAUGCAGGUGCAGCUGGACAUUCUCCUGAGCUAAAAGCAUAUUUAUUUAGUCCCGUCAAACGGAUUAUUACUUUUGCUGCAGCUAAUAUAAAGGGAGUUUGACCGUAUUGGCUGACUGAUGCAGGAUUUCACAAGGGUCGGCAACGAUUCUUGUAAAACUCGAUCUCAAAUCAAGUAAGACUACCCGCUGAACUUAA
RNAcentral lists this ribosomal RNA (492 nucleotides) under uncultured fungus. RNAcentral's name for it is "eukaryotic LSU rRNA". The stretch from base 51 to 204 matches the Rfam family "5.8S ribosomal RNA". The record is from RNAcentral. Lineage: Eukaryota; Fungi.